Molecule: ribosomal RNA, 253 nt
Filed under: uncultured bacterium
Lineage: Bacteria
Description: partial 16S ribosomal RNA
Rfam family: Bacterial small subunit ribosomal RNA
Source: RNAcentral
UACGUAGGGUGCGAGCGUUAAUCGGAAUUACUGGGCGUAAAGCGUGCGCAGGCGGUUUGGUAAGACAGAUGUGAAAUCCCCGGGCUUAACCUGGGAAUUGCGUUGGAGACUGCAAGGCUGGAGUCUGGCAGAGGGGGGUAGAAUUCCACGUGUAGCAGUGAAAUGCGUAGAGAUGUGGAGGAACACCGGUGGCGAAGGCGGCGACCUGGGUAGAUACUGACGCUGAGGCGCGAAAGCGUGGGGAGCAAACAGG